UGCUUACCAAAGCCUUGCUCUCUGAGUCAUCCUGAUCAAAAUUUUCAUCAUCUUCCAAGUACUUCUCUUGCACCGCUGCAACUGUGGAUUGCUCUGUUAAGCCAAAGCAAUCAAACUAUACCAAUUUACUAACUAAGAAAGAGAAGACGUAAUGCAGGACUCCAGUUUUCCAUCGAAGAAAACACGUGCUCACGGGUACAGAUGGAUAUCCAAGGAAAAAUUAGUAAUGU
RNAcentral lists this long non-coding RNA (230 nucleotides) under Actinidia chinensis (golden kiwifruit). Its description in RNAcentral is "long non-coding RNA (ACHI_LNC007200)". The record is from RNAcentral. Lineage: Eukaryota; Viridiplantae; Streptophyta; Magnoliopsida; Ericales; Actinidiaceae.